This 468-nucleotide ribosomal RNA is filed under the name uncultured bacterium. RNAcentral describes it as "partial 16S ribosomal RNA". It matches the Rfam family "Bacterial small subunit ribosomal RNA", at positions 28 to 507 of the family's 1533-position model. The record is from RNAcentral.
GACGAACGCUGGCGGCGGGCUUAACACAUGCAAGUCGAACGGAAAGGCCCUGCUAGUGUGGUGUGCUCGAGUGGCGAACGGGUGAGUAAGACGUGAGUAACCUGCCCUAGACUUUGGGAUAACUUCAGGAAACUGGGGCUAAUACCGUAUAGGAGCUCCUCCUGCAUGGUGGGGGUGGGAAAGUUUCGGCGGUUGGGGAUGGAUUCGCGGCUUAUCAGCUUGUUGGUGGGGUAGUGGCUUGCCAAGGCUUUGACGGGUAGCCGGCCUGAGAGGGUGACCGGCCACCUUGCGACUGCGAUACGGACCAGACUCCUACGGGAGGCAGCAGUGGGGAAUCUUGCCCAAUGGGCGGACGCCUGAUGCAGAAACGCCGCGUGCGUGAUGCCGGCCUUCGGGUUGUAAACCGCUUUCGCCUGUGACGAAGCGUGAGUGACGGUAAUGGGUAAAGAAGCACCGGCUAACUACGUG